RNAcentral lists this unclassified non-coding RNA (380 nucleotides) under uncultured fungus. RNAcentral describes it as "partial contains 5.8S ribosomal RNA and internal transcribed spacer 2". The stretch from base 1 to 133 matches the Rfam family "5.8S ribosomal RNA", at positions 22 to 154 of the family's 154-position model. The record is from RNAcentral. Lineage: Eukaryota; Fungi.
UGGUUCUCGCAUCGAUGAAGAACGCAGCGAAAUGCGAUAAGUAAUGUGAAUUGCAGAGUCCAGUGAAUCAUCGAAUCUUUGAACGCACAUUGCGCCCCCUGGUACUCCGGGGGGCACGCCUGUCCGAGCGUCAUCGCAAACACCCUCGGGCCCACGGCCCGGUGACGGGACACGCGGUCGGCCCAGGCCGGCCCCGGUCCUCAGAGCGAUCGGACCCCGACUGUCUCCGACCGACGCGUCGGCACGUGGCUGGUGGCCCCUGAGGCGAUCUCACGUGCUGGCGAGCGGCGACGGUGCGUCGGCGGUCCGGGACGAGCAGUCCAUCCGGUGGGAGCAGUCCCACCACGCUUGACCUCGGAUCAGGCGGGGAUACCCGCUGA